RNAcentral lists this ribosomal RNA (478 nucleotides) under uncultured bacterium. RNAcentral's name for it is "bacterial SSU rRNA". It matches the Rfam family "Bacterial small subunit ribosomal RNA", at positions 28 to 509 of the family's 1533-position model. The record is from RNAcentral.
GAUGAACGCUAGCGGCAGGCUUAACACAUGCAAGUCGAGGGGUAUAGUAGCAAUACUAGAGACCGGCGCACGGGUGCGUAACGCGUAUGCAAUCUACCUUUUGCAGGGGAAUAGCCCAGAGAAAUUUGGAUUAAUGCCCCAUAGUAUAGUGACUCGGCAUCGAGAUACUAUUAAAGUUACAACGGCAAAAGAUGAGCAUGCGUCCCAUUAGCUAGUUGGUAAGGUAACGGCUUACCAAGGCGACGAUGGGUAGGGGUCCUGAGAGGGAGAUCCCCCACACUGGUACUGAGACACGGACCAGACUCCUACGGGAGGCAGCAGUGAGGAAUAUUGGACAAUGGGCGCAAGCCUGAUCCAGCCAUGCCGCGUGCAGGAUGAAGCAUCUAUGGUGUGUAAACUGCUUUUGACGAGAAGAAACACUGCUUCGUGAAGCAGCUUGACGGUAUCGUAAGAAUAAGGGAUCGGCUAACUCCGUGCC